ACCAACCUUAACCUGUGCAUGGGUCUUACUCUUCCUCCUCUUGGUCACUUUGGGACCUAACCUCCAAACCUGUUCCUUACCACUUCCUAGAUAGUCUUGUAAGCCCAAGGACAGGCAAGCCUUUGCGUGUUCUCUGACUUCUCAGGGAUAGAGCUGAGGCCUUUGUGGUCAGAAGAACCUGGAGGGGCAGGCUGAGGAGGGUUCUCUCUGUCUUCCCUUUCUCAGCAUGGGGGGAUGGAGCUGGAGCUGGCAGGUCACCCAGGUCCCUCAGGAAAAGGCAAACUGCUGGGUCCUGGGUGUCUUUAAUGGUACUUGUGUGUGUCAACCCCAGAGAGAAGGGUCGCAAGGAAAAAGAGUCCCUGCAGCAGCUGGCCGAGGUCACCCGAGAAGGGUUCCGUCUCAAGAAGAUACUCAUUGAGGAGUGGAAGACAGCUCGGGAAGAAAAGCAGAGUAAGCUUCUUGAGCUUCAGGCUGGAAAGAAGUCUCUGGAAGACCAGGUAGAAACGCUGCGGACAGCGAAAGAGGAAGCAGAGAGGCCAGAGAAGGAGGCCAAGGACCAGCACCGGAAGCUGUGGGAAGAGCAGCAGGCUGCUGCCAAGGCCCGGCGGGAACAGGAGCUGGCAGCCAGUGCCUUCCAGGAACUGGACGACAACAUGGAUGGGCU
RNAcentral lists this long non-coding RNA (664 nucleotides) under Rattus norvegicus (Norway rat). RNAcentral's name for it is "long non-coding RNA NONRATT027512". The record is from RNAcentral. Lineage: Eukaryota; Metazoa; Chordata; Mammalia; Rodentia; Muridae.